GAUGAAGAACGUAGCGAAAUGCGAUAAGUAAUGUGAAUUGCAGAAUUCAGUGAAUCAUCGAAUCUUUGAACGCACAUUGCGCCCGCUGGUAUUCCGGCGGGCAUGCCUGUUCGAGCGUCAUUUCAACCCUCAAGCCCCCGGGUUUGGUGUUGGGGAUCGGCUCUGCCCUUCUGGGCGGUGCCGCCCCCGAAAUACAUUGGCGGUCUCGCUGCAGCCUCCAUUGCGUAGUAGCUAACACCUCGCAACUGGAACGCGGCGCGGCCAUGCCGUAAAACCCCAACUUCUGAAUGUUGACCUCGGAUCAGGUAGGAAUACCCGCUGAACUUAAGCAUACAAUAAGCGGAGGA
Molecule: unclassified non-coding RNA, 347 nt
Filed under: soil metagenome
Description: partial contains 5.8S ribosomal RNA, internal transcribed spacer 2, and large subunit ribosomal RNA
Rfam family: 5.8S ribosomal RNA (bases 1-120)
Source: RNAcentral